Molecule: ribosomal RNA, 427 nt
Filed under: uncultured Spirochaeta sp.
Lineage: Bacteria; Pseudomonadati; Spirochaetota; Spirochaetia; Spirochaetales; Spirochaetaceae
Description: bacterial SSU rRNA
Rfam family: Bacterial small subunit ribosomal RNA
Source: RNAcentral
AGCUAAGAAUCUUCCGCAAUGGACGCAAGUCUGACGGAGCGACGCCGCGUGUGCGAAGAAUGUCGAGAGAUUGUAAAGCACUUUUAUAUGUGAGGAAUAACAGUAUCAGGAAAUGGGUAUUGGAUGACGUUAGCAUAUGAAUAAGCUCCGGCCAAUUACGUGCCAGCAGCCGCGGUAACACGUAAGGAGCGAGCGUUGUUCGGAAUUAUUGGGCGUAAAGGGCAUGUAGGCGGUUUUGUAAGUCCGAUGUGAAAGCGUGCAGCUUAACUGCAUUGUUGCGUUGGAAACUGCGAGACUAGAAUCCGAGAGGGGUAAGUGGAAUUCCUAGUGUAGGGGUGAAAUCUGUUGAUAUUAGGAAGAACACCAGAGGCGAAGGCGACUUGCUGGCUCUGGAUUGACGCUGAGGUGCGAAAGCGUAGGUAGCGAA